CAGUUAAGUGACUAAAGUAUAUUGGGA
Molecule: small RNA, 27 nt
Filed under: Bombyx mori (domestic silkworm)
Lineage: Eukaryota; Metazoa; Arthropoda; Insecta; Lepidoptera; Bombycidae
Description: ovarian small RNA-13371
Source: RNAcentral